UUGAUGGCGACCGGCGCAAGGGUGCGUAACGCGUGAGCAACUUGCCCGUUUCUGGGGAAUAACCGGUGGAAACGCCGACUAAUACCCCAUAGCAUCAACUUAGGGCAUCCUUAGUUGAUUAAAGAAUUUCGGAAACGGAUAGGCUCGCGUGGCAUUAGCUGGAUGGCGGGGUAACGGCCCACCAUGGCUACGAUGUCUAGGGGUUCUGAGAGGAAGGUCCCCCACACUGGAACUGAGACACGGUCCAGACUCCUACGGGAGGCAGCAGUGAGGAAUAUUGGUCAAUGGUCUGACGACUGAACCAGCCAUGCCGCGUGAAGGUCACGGCCCUAUGGGUCUUAAACUUCUUUUGUAAGGGAGCAAUAAGUCUCACGUGUGGGAUGAUGAGAGUACCUUACGAAUAAGCAUCGGCUAACUCCGUGCCAGCAGCCGCGGUAAUACGGGGGAUGCAAGCGUUAUCCGGAUUUAUUGGGUUUAAAGGGUGCGUAGGCGGCGUCUUAAGUCAGCGGUGAAAUUUAGGGGCUCAACCUCUACCGUGCCGUUGAUACUGGGAUGCUGGAAUGCGGAUGCCGUGGGAGGAAUGUGUGGUGUAGCGGUGAAAUGCAUAGAUAUCACACAGAACACCGAUUGCGAAGGCAUCUCACGAAUCCGCUAUUGACGCUGAGGCACGAAAGCGUGGGGAUCAAACAGGAUUAGAUAC
This 700-nucleotide ribosomal RNA is filed under the name uncultured bacterium. RNAcentral describes it as "bacterial SSU rRNA". It matches the Rfam family "Bacterial small subunit ribosomal RNA", at positions 85 to 785 of the family's 1533-position model. The record is from RNAcentral.